AAAAAAGAAAAAAAAAAUCCAAAGUCUGAGUUCAAAGUUCAAACACGUCAUUAGCCCUAAACCCCUUUCUGCCGCCUACCAUCUUCUUCCCAAGUUUCAGCCCUAAACACGUCGAUCUCUCCGGCGCCGAUUCACGCCGACCAACGCCACUCGUUCCUUCCGCCGCCGUCGUUAUCUCAACAAUCAACGAAGCCACGAACCACGUUCUCUACCGCCUCCCUCCAAUCUUAAAACCGUAGGUGUCCCUGCCGUCGUCGCCGCCCCAAUCUCCACCGGUCAGCAAGCAACGAAAAUCGACGCUGCUCUGAGCCUUUGUCCGAUCCCCCUAGCGCCGUGCUUCGCCGCUGCUUUGAGCUUCUGUACUCCAGAAAUGCCGUUGCUCUGAAGCUUUCUCCGGUCUCCGCCACCGCUGCUCUGAGCCUUUGUUCGGUCGCCCUAGCAUGCUCUGGUUUACCUUGCUGUACACCAGACGGCGAAUGUUGUAAUUGCUAACAUACUAGACGAGGCAGGAGCAGAAGUAGCUGCUGAAAUCAGAGGGCAGUACUCUUCCGGUCUGCUCUCGACUUAGCCGCCGCUGUGAGGCUUUCUUUGGUCGCUGCUCCUUGAGGUUAGUUUAUGUGUAGCUUAAUUUCAUUAUCAAUUACAAGCAGAAAAUCAAUUUUAUGCUGCACUACAAUCUUGUUUCAUCCGAGUAUAAUUCUUUGCUUGUAACUAAGAUGUUCAAAUUUUAUGCUGCACUACAAUCUUGUUUCAUCCGAGUAUAAUUCUUUGCGCGCAUUGAGCUUCUGAUCUGCCUUUCUCUACCCCGGUCCGCCGUGCUUCGUUGCCACCCUGAGCCUUUCUCCGGUCGUCCAGUCGUGACUACAUUUUCCUAACAGAGGAUUUGCUUUCUGGUUGCUUUGUUGGGGGUUUGGCCACCUUUCUACAUUUUGACAACUUCACUAGUUAUUUGCCACAAAAUGCAAGUGCCAAGUGCCAAGUGCCUAAGUGAUGCAGGGUUUUUCUUGAUGCAAUAGAUAUGACCAAUAUAGCAAAUACUAUAAUGCAGCAAUUGAGAAGAUUGAGGAGCACUAUUCAGAGUACCUACGGAAGACCUUACGAUUUACAUUUGAAGAGGGGGUUCAAAUGCUUAAGUCGUAUUAGGAGGUCGGCAUAUUCAUGAGCAAGAGCUUUUGGCAGACCGUGCACGAGCAUGCGUGCACCAGGUAUUUCCAGGCAAUAUGAUGAAUGGUAGCUUGGGAAGCAAAGGGGAAAAAAAAAAUAAUUGUUGAAAAGUUGAGGCUUGAAGAACAUUGCAUCUUUGGAAUUUUGAUUUUGAAACUUGCUAUUAGAUUUUUGAUAAGUUAUUAGAUUCAUAGUUGGAAAUUGAUGCAAAUCAUUCUAGAUGAUUGUUAGAUUUUGAAAAAUUGUACUCAUAGUUGAAACAUUUUAGAUAAUUGUAAUGAAUGUAAAUGAUAAUUAGAUGUGUAAUUCCAUAUUUGAAGUUUA
Molecule: long non-coding RNA, 1488 nt
Organism: Salvia miltiorrhiza (redroot sage)
Lineage: Eukaryota; Viridiplantae; Streptophyta; Magnoliopsida; Lamiales; Lamiaceae
Exons: 6
Source: RefSeq, a predicted model, not a curated record